UACAGAGGGUGCGAGCGUUGUCCGGAAUCACUGGGCGUAAAGGGCGCGUAGGUGGCGCGACAAGUCAGUGGUGAAAGUUCGACGCUCAACGUCGAAUCGGCCACUGAUACUGUUGGGCUUGAGCACUGUAGAGGCUAAUGGAAUUCCGGGUGUAGCGGUGGAAUGCGUAGAGAUCCGGAAGAACACCGGUGGCGAAGGCGGUUAGCUGGGCAGUUGCUGACAC
This 223-nucleotide ribosomal RNA is filed under the name uncultured bacterium. Its description in RNAcentral is "partial 16S ribosomal RNA". It matches the Rfam family "Bacterial small subunit ribosomal RNA", at positions 524 to 746 of the family's 1533-position model. The record is from RNAcentral.